CACCAGGUUGAUUCUGCCUGACGUGGACGCUAGUCUCACAGAUUUAGCCAUGCAUGUGUAAGCGAAGCUUAUAGUGGAGCGGUAUACGGCUCAGUAACGGGCGAUUUAUUUGUUCUCCUGGGACGGACAACAUCGGGAAACUGAUGGGAAAACGUCUAAGUUGCAGUUAAUUGACUGUAACGUAAACCUUUGUGUGCAGGAGAGUAAGAUGCCAUCCUAUCAGUUAGUAAGUAGGGUAAGGGCCUACUUAGACGAAGACGGGUACGGGGAAUGAGGGUUUGAUUCCGGAGAGGGAGCCUGAGAGAUGGCUACCAGGACCAAGGUCAGCAGCAGGCGCGAAAAUUAUCGAAGCCCGCCUAGGGGCGAUAGUGAGGAGACGUGUAUAACGAAGUACGUGUAAAGAACGUGCUAAUAACUGGAGGUCAAGUCUGGUGCCAGCAUCCGCGGUAAUUCCAGCUCCAGGGGUGUAUAUGAUGAUUGCUGCGAUUAAAAAGUCCGUAGUCAAUCUGACUGACUGACCUGCAAUGUGAUUGAUUAAAGAACGAGCAGGGUUAGGAAAGCAGAGAAUUAGGAGCGACCGAGGGCUAGAGUAUUGAAUGGCGAGAGGUGAAAUUUGAUGACCCAUUCAGGAGUGACAAAGGCGAAGGCACUAGUCAAGGGCGAAUCCGAUGAUCAAGGACGUAGGCUAGAGUUUCGAAAACGAUUAGAGACCGGAGUAGUUCUAGCAGUAAACUAUGCCGACGCCGUGGUAUCAACAAUGGUAUUGCGGAAGAGAAAUCAAGUAAGGCUUUGGGGAGAGUACGCGCGCAAGCGAUAAAUUUAAAGGAAAUU
This 831-nucleotide ribosomal RNA is filed under the name Dictyocoela sp. BLAP PAR5. Its description in RNAcentral is "SSU rRNA". It matches the Rfam family "Microsporidia small subunit ribosomal RNA", at positions 1 to 788 of the family's 1311-position model. Lineage: Eukaryota; Fungi; Microsporidia. The record is from RNAcentral.